CACGUAGGCGGUUUGUUAAGUCAGAGGUGAAAUCCCGGAGCUCAACUCCGGAACUGCCUUUGAUACUGGCAAGCUAGAGUCCGGAAGAGGUAAGUGGGACUCCUAGUGUAGAGGUGGAAUUCGUAGAUAUUAGGAAGAACACCAGUGGCGAAGGCGGCUUACUGGUCCGGAACUGACGCUGAGGUGCGAAAGCGUGGGGAGCAAACA
This 207-nucleotide ribosomal RNA is filed under the name uncultured bacterium. Its description in RNAcentral is "partial 16S ribosomal RNA". It matches the Rfam family "Bacterial small subunit ribosomal RNA", at positions 568 to 774 of the family's 1533-position model. The record is from RNAcentral.